UACGGAGGGUGCGAGCGUUGUCCGGAAUCAUUGGGCGUAAAGGGCGCGUAGGUGGCCCGGUCAGUUCGUGGUGAAAGCGCGGGGCUCAACCCUGCGUCGGCCAUGAAUACUGCCGCGGCUGGAGCACUGUAGAGGCAGGCGGAAUUCCGGGUGUAGCGGUGGAAUGCGUAGAUAUCUGGAGGAACACCGGUGGCGAAGGCGGCAUCCUGGACCGGUAUUGACACUGAGGCGCGAAAGCCAGGGGAGCAAACGGG
RNAcentral lists this ribosomal RNA (254 nucleotides) under uncultured bacterium. RNAcentral's name for it is "partial 16S ribosomal RNA". It matches the Rfam family "Bacterial small subunit ribosomal RNA", at positions 524 to 776 of the family's 1533-position model. The record is from RNAcentral.